GCAGGCGGUUAUGCAAGACAGAUGUGAAAUCCCCGGGCUCAACCUGGGAACUGCAUUUGUGACUGCAUAGCUGGAGUGCGGCAGAGGGGGAUGGAAUUCCGCGUGUAGCAGUGAAAUGCGUAGAUAUGCGGAGGAACACCGAUGGCGAAGGCAAUCCCCUGGGCCUGCACUGACGCUCAUGCACGAAAGCGUGGGGAGCAAACAGGAUUAGAUACCCUGGUAGUCCACGCCCUAAACGAUGUCAACUGGUUGUUGGGAAGGUUCCUUCUCAGUAACGUAGCUAACGCGUGAAGUUGACCGCCUGGGGAGUACGGCCGCAAGGUUGAAACUCAAGGGAAUUGACGGGGACCCGCACAAGCGGUGGAUGAUGUGGUUUAAUUCGAUGCAACGCGAAAAACCUUACCUACCCUUGACAUGCCUGGAAUCUUGCAGAGAUGUGAGAGUGCUCGAAAGAGAACCAGGACACAGGUGCUGCAUGGCCGUCGUCAGCUCGUGUCGUGAGAUGUUGGGUUAAGUCCCGCAACGAGCGCAACCCUUGUCAUUAGUUGCUACGAAAGGGCACUCUAAUGAGACUGCCGGUGACAAACCGGAGGAAGGUGGGGAUGACGUCAGGUCCUCAUGGCCCUUAUGGGUAGGGCUACACACGUCAUACAAUGGCCGGUACAGAGGGCUGCCAACCCGCGAGGGGGAGCUAAUCCCAGAAAACCGGUCGUAGUCCGGAUCGCAGUCUGCAACUCGACUGCGUGAAGUCGGAAUCGCUAGUAAUCGCGGAUCAGCUUGCCGCGGUGAAUACGUUCCCGGGUCUUGUACACACCGCCCGUCAAA
Molecule: ribosomal RNA, 825 nt
Filed under: uncultured beta proteobacterium
Lineage: Bacteria; Pseudomonadati; Pseudomonadota; Betaproteobacteria
Description: SSU rRNA
Rfam family: Bacterial small subunit ribosomal RNA
Source: RNAcentral